RNAcentral lists this unclassified non-coding RNA (409 nucleotides) under rhizosphere metagenome. RNAcentral's name for it is "partial ribosomal RNA internal transcribed spacer region". The record is from RNAcentral.
GUAGGUGAACCUGCGGAAGGAUCAUUAACACGUAUCCACGUAUCCAAACCAUAACUCUGUGAACAUAAUCUCCCCUAUACUCCAAUGUCACUGUUCUAUGUAAUUAGUGGUGGGUGUGCUGACUAUUGGGUCAAACCAAUAGGUGGUACAGAAUUACAUCGAACUUGGGUUCAAUCUCGCAGUGACGUGAGUCUAGGCUUUUGUCUUGUUCAUUGCUAUUGCCUACUAAUUCGUUAGCUGGUGAUAGUACUGUCAAGAUUUUUUUACCUCAUUUCCAUCACUAUGAUCAAACAAACUAUUUUCACCUUUUGAAACAUUUUGACUGAUGUACUCAAUGUAAGAGAAAUCUGGCACUGAGUGUUUGUAUCUAAACUAAGCACAACUCUUAGCAAUGGAUAUCUUGGUUCUC